AAGGGAGAAGUAUGUAGUGGACGUGCAUCUAGCUUGAAACUAGAAGGGGGGGGUUCGAAUCCUCCGUCUCUU
This 72-nucleotide transfer RNA is filed under the name Quedenfeldtia trachyblepharus (Atlas day gecko). Its description in RNAcentral is "tRNA-Ser". It matches the Rfam family "tRNA". Rfam says of the family: Transfer RNA (tRNA) molecules are approximately 80 nucleotides in length. Their secondary structure includes four short double-helical elements and three loops (D, anti-codon, and T loops). The record is from RNAcentral. Lineage: Eukaryota; Metazoa; Chordata; Lepidosauria; Squamata; Sphaerodactylidae.